Molecule: ribosomal RNA, 916 nt
Filed under: uncultured bacterium
Lineage: Bacteria
Description: bacterial SSU rRNA
Rfam family: Bacterial small subunit ribosomal RNA
Source: RNAcentral
UUGUUGGUGAGGUAAAGGCUUACCAAGGCUUCGAUCAGUAGCUGGUCUGAGAGGACGGCCAGCCACACUGGGACUGAGACACGGCCCAGACUCCUACGGGAGGCAGCAGUGGGGAAUUUUGGACAAUGGGGGCAACCCUGAUCCAGCCAUGCCGCGUGAGUGAAGAAGGCCUUCGGGUUGUAAAGCUCUUUCAGCCGGAACGAAACGGUUACGAUUAAUACCCGUAACUACUGACGGUACCGGAAGAAGAAGCACCGGCUAACUACGUGCCAGCAGCCGCGGUAAUACGUAGGGUGCGAGCGUUAAUCGGAAUUACUGGGCGUAAAGCGUGCGCAGGUGGUUUUGUAAGUCAGAUGUGAAAUCCCCGGGCUUAACCUGGGAACUGCGUUUGAAACUACAAGGCUAGAGUGUGGCAGAGGGGGGUGGAAUUCCGCGUGUAGCAGUGAAAUGCGUAGAGAUGUGGAGGAACACCGAUGGCGAAGGCAGCCCCCUGGGUCAACACUGACGCUCAGGCACGAAAGCAUGGGGAGCAAACAGGAUUAGAUACCCUGGUAGUCCAUGCCCUAAACGAUGUCAACUAGUUGUCGGGUCUUAACGGGCUUGGUAACGUAGCUAACGCGGGAAGUUGACCGCCUGGGGAGUACGAUCGCAAGAUUAAAACUCAAAGGAAUUGACGGGGACCCGCACAAGCGGUGGAUUAUGUGGAUUAAUUCGAUGCAACGCGAAAAACCUUACCUACCCUUGACAUGUAUUGGAGCCCGCAGAGAUGUGGGUGUGCCCGAAAGGGAACGAUAACACAGGUGCUGCAUGACUGUCGUCAGCUCGUGUCGUGAGAUGUUGGGUUAAGUCCCGCAACGAGCGCAACCCUUGUCAUUAAUUGCCAUCAUUUAGUUGGGCACUUUAAUGAGACUGCCGG